GACGAACGCUGGCGGCGUGCCUAAUACAUGCAAGUCGAACGAGUGGCGGACGGGUGAGUGAUGUCUGGGAAACUGCCUGAUGGAGGGGGAUAACUACUGGAAACGGUAGCUAAUACCGCAUACCAUCGGAUGUGCCCAGAUGGGAUUAGCUAGUAGGUGGGGUAAAGGCUCACCUAGGCGACGAUCCCUAGCUGGUCUGAGAGGAUGACCAGCACCACUGGAACUGAGACACGGUCCAGACUCCUACGGGAGGCAGCAGUGGGGAAUAUUGCACAAUGGGCGCAAGCCUGAUGCAGCCAUGCCGCGUGUAUGAAGAAGGUCUUCGGAUUGUAAAGCACUUUAAGUUGGGAGGCGUUACCAACAGAAUAAGCACCGGCUAACUUCGUGCCAGCAGCCGCGGUAAUAC
Molecule: ribosomal RNA, 406 nt
Filed under: uncultured bacterium
Lineage: Bacteria
Description: partial 16S ribosomal RNA
Rfam family: Bacterial small subunit ribosomal RNA
Source: RNAcentral